Molecule: ribosomal RNA, 377 nt
Filed under: uncultured bacterium
Lineage: Bacteria
Description: bacterial SSU rRNA
Rfam family: Bacterial small subunit ribosomal RNA
Source: RNAcentral
UAAUACGGAGGUGGCGAGCGUUGUUCGGAAUCACUGGGCGUAAAGGGCGCGUAGGCGGGCGAGGAAGUCGUGUGUGAAAGCCCCGGGCUCAACUCGGGAACGGCGCGCGAGACUCCUCGUCUUGAGUCCCGGAGAGGCGGGUGGAAUUCCUGGUGUAGCGGUGAAAUGUGUAGAGAUCAGGAGGAACACCGGUGGCGAAGGCGGCCCGCUGGACGGAGACUGACGCUGAGGCGCGAAAGCGUGGGGAGCAAACGGGAUUAGAUACCCCGGUAGUCCACGCGGUAAACGAUGAGGGCUAGGUGUGGGGGGUAUCGACCCCCUCCGUGCCGAAGCUAACGCAUUAAGCCCUCCGCCUGGGGAGUACGGCCGCAAGGUUG